Molecule: non-coding RNA, 3306 nt
Organism: Cricetulus griseus (Chinese hamster)
Lineage: Eukaryota; Metazoa; Chordata; Mammalia; Rodentia; Cricetidae
Source: RefSeq, a predicted model, not a curated record
AACACCACCUGGGGGCACAGAGAUUUGUCAGCGUGACUGAUGCUUCCUGCUUAAAUGCAACAGUGUGCAGACACUUAUGCAGAAGAGAAACAGGCUGGGAGCCGGAAGAGGCAGUGUCUGGGGAGAGUUUGAAAAGCUCCGCUUGCAUCUAGUCACGCAUCUAGUGCUCUGCAGUGUGCAUCUCUAAAGGCAAGACCAGCCAUCGUCCUUUUAUGAAUGAGAAGCCAAGACCCAGAGACACUGAGGAUUUUUCUAAAAUUGAACAGCUGGGAUUUGAACCCUCAAAUGUUAUACUGAAGGGUGUCUCACAUCCAGGAAAUAAACACACACAGUAGAGGUUGCAAGCGUGGACACUAAAAUCUGAGUUUGGAUCUAGAUGUCACCAGUGCUUCUUAGAGCUGUGUGAGUUAGCAUUGUGACUCUCCAUGAGGAACCUCUCUGGAUCUGCAUCUGGUUCUGCCUAGCUACCAAACCCAGGUAACUGACUAUUCCCAUGAAGCAUCUGGCAUCACAUUGGUCCAAGGUAAGCAAAUGGCAAAAGUUCAAGAUCGCAGUGGCCCUGCUUCCAUCCCAUCAGAUCCAGUAAGGAAAUAGGAUGAAGAAAGUUCUGUUGACUCAACAGAGUGAGGAUACUGUGAUGACAAAUGCUGGGGUGACAGCAUUGGUUCCACUGUUACAGAGACAUCCAGAUGGAGCUUGUCCUCACAGACAGACACCUGGUUCCUUUCUGGCUUUCUUGAACAGUGCAGCCCUAGCCAGCUGUUCCUCCUCUCUGUGGCCUGAUAGUCCAAAUUCCUUCUUCCAGAACAUGUGUUUAGAAAAUGAAAUUUCCUCCAUUUUUUUUAUCUUAAAAACAAAUCCAAACCAACCAACCAACCAACCAACCAACAACAAAAAUGUCCCCCUAACCCUUCAAAAUAAAUCAAAGGAUCCUAAAAGUGCAUUUACAAGCAGCAUCUUGUGUUGAGGAGAGACCAAACAACAAGCUGGGUGGCACUGGCAGGACAGUUCCAAACAAUGACCAUGAGAAUCACCUGGCUGCCAGUGACCACACUGAGGAUCCAGAUGAUGGUAUUUCUUAGCCACUGAUGGGGGUGGCAUGGGGAGGGAUCAUAUUCACACAUCCUUCUUAAAACCCGAAUAUGAAACCAUUUAAGAAGCCUUGAAAAAUUAACACCAAUUGAUUUAGAAUUAGGAAUCAACAGACCACAAGAAAAUAAAACCCAAACAGAUAAGUAUAAACUAUGACAGUGGGCCAAGCUCUACUCAUCUGGCAGCAUAAACAUCACUAAGAAGGGAAAUGUUCUUUCCAACAGCUAGCAAAGGCUCCAAGGGAGGACUCGGCAGAAUCCCAGGUACAUGCAUAGUUCUCAACUCACAGGAUCCUCUGUCCCCAGGGCUGUUUGCUGUCUUGUGGUGGCCUGCCCAAGUGUCAUUAUGUGCUGCCUUCCAUAGCCUCAUCCUGGGUCUCAUCCUGGGUCUUCUGUGAGGCCUCCAUCCCAUCUCCUGGCCAGUGAUAGUCAUCUUUCAUAGAUACCAUGGGAUCAUAUCACUCCCAGUCCAGGCUCAUUUCUCCAGGCUACCCCUCCUCCUAGAUGAUCGCUUAGCUCUACCCCUAGAUGCUCCUGUCUCCUCCCCCACAGCUGCUCAUUAAGCCCCAGGAAUGUGCUCCCAGUCAGGCACCUGCUUGUGCCCAGGCUCCACUCAGCAUAAGUCAGAGAACUUGCUUUCCAAAGCAGGCCCUUAGCCAUGGAUGGCUCGUCCCAAGCCUGUGCCUGAGGAGGACUCACCCUGAAGGCAGCCUGGUGACAGGCCAUCAGAAUAGGCUCCCACUCUCCUGGAACAGGGGCAACCCCCACUCUGGCAAAGAAGAGGAGCGGAAAGCGCACCUGACUAGUGUACCAAAGUGUCAGUUUGCAUACAGUCCCCUCUCUGUCAUGCUAGGCAUGCCAUGUGCCUUGUAGGCCCUCAGAGUUUUGAUGUACAAAGCAGGGCCAACAUGCUGGACCUCAGAGCCAUAGACAUUAGCAACUUUAUCAGCAUCUCUGGACAAUGCCAAUGUGAAAUGGGCAUGACAUGGCAGGUAGAAAAACCAGGAUUUUCAUUCCAGCACCCAAACUUGGGGAAACCAUGAAUACCCCUUGGUUUUCCUCAUCUGUCAAGUAAGGACAGGAAGAGCCCCUUAGCAGUUCACUGUCUGACCUCAAACAGGAUGUAACAUGUAGAAAUUGCCUUACACAGAGUUCAACAAGGACAAAUGUAAGUGUUUAUUCUGCCUUGCCCAAACCUACUUCCUAGUAGGUGCCACUGGGCAUUACAGAGACUUCUUGCUAUCAGGUCCUCUGAGCCUUUCCCCCCUCUAUUUGUGUGACCACAUUGACUAGCCAGCUCCAAGGUCAUUGGUUUGCAGCAGGUAUCACCUGGGUUGUCCCUUGGGUGGAGCUCAGUCCAAGAGAGGGAUUCUAGGAUUUUUGUCCAUAGGAAUCAGGCCUAGUCUGUUUCUUCUGCUCUUUUCAAGGCCUCUCCAUAGGCUUUUGUGGCACAUCCUAUUCUGUAGGUCAUUCUCACAUGGUUCAGGGUCCAAACUGAAGGUCCAUGGGUCUUGAGAGCAGAAACCUAGUGUCUUCCUUGCCUUUGCCAUGAUGUCAUCAUUUAUUUUAUUUUUAGUUGUGUGUGUAUGCUUUUCUGGAUAUCUGCACAUGUGUGAGGGUACCUCAGGAGUUCAGAGAGGGUGACAGAGUCCCCUGGAGCUGCAGUUAUAGGCAGUUGUGAGCUGCCCAAUGCAGGUAUUGCUAGUCAAACUCAAGUGCUUUGUAGUAGCUGUGUGUGCUCUUAACUGUGAGCCAUUUCCCCAGCUCACAAGGGCCUGUUGUUUGAUUUCCAGAAUUAUUUAAAGUUACUACAUGCAUAUUGUCUUUGUUUGAUUUUUGACUUUGAACCUUCUCCCACUUUUUUCUUUAACUUUCAGUAUCUUCUUAGGGAUUGCUUAGGGAGGAUCUGUACCCUGUUGUGGAAUAUUAUUUUAACUGGAAUAUUAUUAUUUAACACAUGUGUUACAUUUGUUUAUGCUGAGGAAUAUUAUUUAAACUGUGUAAGGCUGUGCUACAUUUAUUUAUGUUACAUUUGUUAACAAUGUAAGGAUGUGUGCUUAGUUAUGUAAAGAUGUAAAGGUGUUUCACCUUGCUUGACUAAGGCACCUGAUUGGUCUAAUAAAGAGCUGAACAACCAAUAGCUAGUCAGGAGAGGGAUAGGCGGGGCUUCCAGGCAGAGGGAAUAAAUAAGAGAAAAUGAGGAGGAGAGAAGAAG